CGGCCGAGCAAGUCCGUUGGGAAAUCCACCCGCUCAACGGGUGGGCGACCAGCGGAAACUGCUCGGCUUGGGACCGGAGGACCCGAGGGGUACGUCCGGGGUAGGAGUGAAAUCCUGUAAUCCUGGACGGACCGCCGAUGGCGAAAGCACCUCGGGAGGACGGAUCCGACGGUGAGGGACGAAAGCUAGGGUCUCGAACCGGAUUAGAUACCCGGGUAGUCCUAGCCGUAAACGAUGCCCGCUAGGUGUGGCGCAGGCUACGAGCCUGCGCUGUGCCGUAGGGAAGCCGAGAAGCGGGCCGCCUGGGAA
Molecule: ribosomal RNA, 309 nt
Filed under: uncultured archaeon
Lineage: Archaea
Description: bacterial SSU rRNA
Rfam family: Archaeal small subunit ribosomal RNA
Source: RNAcentral